This 518-nucleotide long non-coding RNA is filed under the name Bos taurus (domestic cattle). RNAcentral describes it as "long non-coding RNA NONBTAT018734". The record is from RNAcentral. Lineage: Eukaryota; Metazoa; Chordata; Mammalia; Artiodactyla; Bovidae.
CGAGCUCUUGGGUCAUUUCCUUGCACUCUGAUGAUAUCAUAUCCCAACUUGCUUAUUUGCUCAUCUUUAUUUGUUGCUCUAUGUACAUUUAACAGUUGGAAGUACUUAUGUAUUGACUAAACAGAGUAUCAGAGAGUUUUUAUACUAUGGCAGCUUAGGGUUCUUGAAAUAUUUGACAUAAUUAACAUUUCAAUGAAUCAGCUAAAGUUCACCCAAAUGUGACUCCUGAGAUCCUUUGCUCUUUUGAAUAGAUAUUUAUGAACAUGGUUCUGUUUCUCUCCAAAGGCCUGUCAUGUGACCCUCUCGGUAUUCUUUGAAUGACCCAUGAGACAUACCUAAAUGUGGGAUAAAUGCAAUUGAUCUGGACAUGGAGAACUCAAUAGGCACUUCCUUUUCAAUGUGCAAGAGAGUUGUUACAUUUCCCUUGUUCCACUGUGAAUAUCAAAUAUUUUCUUCCCUCCAAAAACUGUAAGUUGUGGCCAGGUUUUCACAUAUUUUUUUCUCAUUUAUGAAAAGUC